RNAcentral lists this ribosomal RNA (500 nucleotides) under Microtrichalus sp. UPOL 000L23. RNAcentral describes it as "LSU rRNA". Lineage: Eukaryota; Metazoa; Arthropoda; Insecta; Coleoptera; Lycidae. The record is from RNAcentral.
GUACAGGAAAACUAAAAUUAAAUUCCAGAUUAGACGAGUUACUUUUAAUUUAUCGGCGUCAUAAAAUUGACACGUUUCCAUCGUAUUAUUAAUCAAAGAACUAAUCCUUGACCAUACUUACUAACCUGUUCUUUUAAAGACAGAGAAAAAAUUGUAAAAACUUAAAAUAAAAAUUCACUUUUUCGAAUUUAUCCAUACUUUCUGCUCUUCUGGGAUAUCUCAAAAUAUGAUUAUUAGUUAAGUAUUAAUCUUAUUUCAAAACCAAUUAAUAAUAAACCAACCCCACUAAAUUUCUAUUUAAAUUAAGAAAUUAUAUUUUUAACCACUAUAGAUUUAAUAUUUAGAUAUAAAAUAUUUAUAUUUUAUUUAAUGGAAUCCCUAUUGUCGCAUUAAAAAGAAUUUUCAAGAAUAACUUUCUUUUCAAACGCUGGAGCUACAACCUAAUUUUAAUUAAAAACCACGUUAUUGAAUUUUUAACCCAGACAAGCUGGAAAUUUUAA